RNAcentral lists this ribosomal RNA (113 nucleotides) under Acanthosepion pharaonis. The record is from RNAcentral. Lineage: Eukaryota; Metazoa; Mollusca; Cephalopoda; Sepiida; Sepiidae.
UACACCCAUAUCAAUGUUGAAGCAUCGGUUCUCUUACGAUCAGCGAAGUUAAGUCACGUUGGGCCUUGUCAGUAUUUAGAUGGGUGACCACUUAAGAAUAUUAGGUGCUGUAA